Molecule: long non-coding RNA, 852 nt
Filed under: Salmo salar (Atlantic salmon)
Lineage: Eukaryota; Metazoa; Chordata; Actinopteri; Salmoniformes; Salmonidae
Description: lncRNA (ENSSSAG00000094769.1, ENSSSAG00020067573.1)
Source: RNAcentral
ACCACAAAGUCCAGCAUUCUUAGCAAAUGCAGAUACCGCUCGCUACGUGGAUAGGGCAUGCCCACAAACUUGGAUGAUGGCGUUGUUUACUUCGAAUGAACAGCACACAGUAAUCUCAGAACUUCUCUAGUUAGGCAAAAAAAAAAUUACAUUAGUUUUUCACUAACAUUUCUCGUCAUGCCCAUGUGGUGUUCUGUGCCUGGCUCUGCUAAUUACAAACAAGUGCAAAAAGGAGUUAUCUUUCACCAUUUUACCUACCAGAGACUUACUCCGAUGCUGCCAGUGACUUGUAGCUAUCAAGCAUUAUACUAACGGUGACCAAAGACUGCUAGAGGGGUUUUCAGGCUGAACUGAUGGGGAAUCCAUAGAUUUUUUUCCCAUAAAAUGGAAGAUUCUUGAUUAGAGGUAACCUAACAUUAGCUAGCUCGCUAACCUAGAUGGACAAGGUGGUACAGAAUCUGAUUCCACCAGCAUGUGCUUCCAACCCCUGGCUCACCACAAGGUGAAGGGGAUCUGGAGUCCUUCCACAAUGUCCUGCUGAAAAAUUCACCAAAGCGGGUAAACAAGCAUUAUGGAGCAGUUACACCUUCCGGUUAUGGAGCACAACAAGAUUGUAAGACAUACACCUUCAAGGGACACUGAAAGACCUGGUGGCAUAGCAUGAAAUUCAGGUCACUGGCAACCAAGAGGGUGUGGGUUCAAACCCCAAGUGCGGUUGACUCCCAAGCAAUGUUCCCUCAAUGCUGCAUGUGAGUGCGCAGCAAUAUCAGCCCAUAGAGAGAAGCACGAGAUCGAACUUCACUCAACUUUCUAGAGCAGUGGUCACCAACUGGUUGAUCUCCAAACCAUUCC